UGCCCAAUCUAACUUUUCAGCUGCUGUCGAUUGGUUCUUAAUUUCUAUCAAUAGCUACUGUAUGUGAUCUUCCCUUUUAACUAUACCAAUUCUAUGACGAUUGGAGUUUUAGCUGUUGAUCUCAUACCUUUUUAUACAUCUUCAUGGCUAGAUGACAGUUAUAUAGAUAAGAUGAUCUUGACUUGCCUAUGUAUAGGUUUCCACAAAUUCAGAGUCUUUUAUAUGCAAUUAGAGACUCUUAUAUACUCUACUGAUGGACACAGUUUUAAUCAUACUAUUGUAGUUAUUCUGAUAUCUUAUGACAAAACUGACAAUGAUAGCCUAACAAUGUACUUUGGUCUCAUGGGUGAUGGUCUGCCAAUUGGACGAUACAACGACAUGUGGGCGACCUAGUGCAUUAAGGUUAUCUGUGACCACCUUGGAUUAGACAUGAAGACCAGUAUACCAUACAUCUGGCACAACAAGGCUAGCAACCCAAUUGUGAACCUGAAAUAGAAAUACAAGGGUAUUUACUGGCAGGGAAAAUUGAUCCUGUUCUUCCAGGUUGCUACCCUUGCAAAAGAGUAUACCACUGUUCAUAGCUGCUAUAAAGAGCUCUCGAAGUAGGUCAAGGCUAAGCUCGGCAAGGUUGAUGACUACUUCAACAAGUUGGCUGAUGCCAUGGUCACUUGGAUCGAAGCAUGGGAGUCGCAUGGGUUAAACGGGUCAAACGUCGCCCAAAGGCAGAGGCUUUGGAGGAUGCACUUACAUAGUUACAUGUUGGAGUUUCUGACAACAAAAAUGGGUGACCGAAUUGUGUCAAGGUCACUCACCACAUAAACCAAGUUAUGUCAUAUGAUU
Molecule: long non-coding RNA, 840 nt
Organism: Erigeron canadensis
Lineage: Eukaryota; Viridiplantae; Streptophyta; Magnoliopsida; Asterales; Asteraceae
Exons: 3
Source: RefSeq, a predicted model, not a curated record